Molecule: ribosomal RNA, 433 nt
Filed under: uncultured bacterium
Lineage: Bacteria
Description: partial 16S ribosomal RNA
Rfam family: Bacterial small subunit ribosomal RNA
Source: RNAcentral
AACGAACGCUGGCGGCAUGCCUAACACAUGCCAGUCGAACGAGACCUUCGGGUCUAGUGGCGCACGGGUGCGUAACGCGUGGGAACCUGCCCUUAGGUUCGGAAUAACUCCCCGAAAGGGGUGCUAAUACCGGAUAAUGUCUUCGGACCAAAGAUUUAUCGCCUUUGGAUGGGCCCGCGUUGGAUUAGCUAGUUGGUAGGGUAAAAGCCUACCAAAGCGACGAUCCAUAGCUGGUCUGAGAGGAUGAUCAGCCACACUGGGACUGAGGCACGGCCCAGACUCCUACGGGAGGCAGCAGUGGGGAAUAUUGGACAAUGGGCGAAAGCCUGAUCCAGCAAUGCCGCGUGAGUGAUGAAGGCCUUAGGGUUGUAAAGCUCUUUUACCCGGGAUGAUAAUGACAGUACCGGGAGAAUAAGCUCCGGCUAACUCCGUG